This is a long non-coding RNA of Myodes glareolus (Bank vole), 686 nucleotides long. RefSeq lists it as uncharacterized. The record is from RefSeq and is a predicted model, not a curated record. NCBI's taxonomy places the organism in Eukaryota, Metazoa, Chordata, Mammalia, Rodentia, Cricetidae.
CUCCCGGGUGGUGCAAGUAUCAUUUGUUCAGCAGCAAAUCGGUGGGAAGGGGGAAUGGGACUGUCAAUACCGCCUGGAAAAUGUGUUUUCUUCGGGUGUGGAAAGCGAUAAAGACCCUCCACUGCCUGCAACCCCAAAUGAACACCUGAAAAAGGCAAACACAUGGGUGCCAGGGGCAAAUGCUUUCAUUCACGGAAUCUGAAUUCUCAGAGCAAAUGUCACCAGGUGAAAUCAGAAGAAAAUAUCACAAUGUGUAAAGGAUGUUAUAAAGACACCAAAAAUGGCUUCCUGGCUAGUAAGAGCUAAUUAAUGCCAUCUCAAGGAGGCUGGGUGGCUUUGGAAACAGCCUAAAGACUGAUCUGAUGAAUAUACUGUUCCCUUUUGCAAGCUGCAGCAUAAUAAAGAUAAAAAAUGUGUUACACUGCAAAGAGAGAAACCCUGUGGAUACAAAUGCUAACUAUAAACCACACGCAGGAAACUGGCCGUUAUUGAGACAUGAAGGAUCGGCAGGUUCUUUCUCAGCCUAUGAGCUGUAUCGUUGAGCAUGAACACUCUCAGUAAGAGUCAUACUUAUAUCUAUCAGUCCUAACUGGUUCUCUUCUACUGCAUUAUAAUGGUUUGGAUGUGAAAUGUUCCUUCAUGGACUCUCGUGUUUAAAACACUUAGUUUCCAGUAGGUGAUGCUGU